This 470-nucleotide ribosomal RNA is filed under the name Aphyosemion escherichi. RNAcentral describes it as "partial 16S ribosomal RNA". It matches the Rfam family "Bacterial large subunit ribosomal RNA", at positions 1926 to 2551 of the family's 2925-position model. Lineage: Eukaryota; Metazoa; Chordata; Actinopteri; Cyprinodontiformes; Nothobranchiidae. The record is from RNAcentral.
AACGGCCGCGGUAUUUUGACCGUGCAAAGGUAGCGCAAUCACUUGUCUUUUAAAUAAAGACCUGUAUGAAUGGCACAACGAGGACUUAACUGUCUCCUUUUUCCCAUCAAUGAAAUUGAUCUCCCCGUGCAGAAGCGGGGAUACUUACAUAAGACGAGAAGACCCUAUGGAGCUUAAGCCGCAAGGACAGAACAUGUUAUUUCUUUUAAUUAAAAGAUGAAACCAAUUGUAGACUGUCCAAGUGUCUUUGGUUGGGGCGACCACGGAGUACAAAAAAACCUCCAUGAGGAAUGAAGAUAUUUCUUUCCACCUAAGAAUGACAAUUCCAAGAACCAGAAUUUCUGACCAACUUGAUCCGGCAAAGCCGAUCAACGAACCGAGUUACCCUAGGGAUAACAGCGCAAUCCUCUUUUAGAGUCCAUAUCGACAAGAGGGUUUACGACCUCGAUGUUGGAUCAGGACAUCCUAAU